RNAcentral lists this ribosomal RNA (450 nucleotides) under uncultured bacterium. RNAcentral's name for it is "partial 16S ribosomal RNA". It matches the Rfam family "Bacterial small subunit ribosomal RNA", at positions 338 to 795 of the family's 1533-position model. The record is from RNAcentral.
CCUACGGGGGGCUGCAGUGGGGAAUUUUGGACAAUGGGCGAAAGCCUGAUCCAGCCAUGCCGCGUGUGGGAAGAAGGCCUUCGGGUUGUAAACCACUUUUGUCGGGAACGAAACGGUCUGUGAUAACACCAUGGGCUAAUGACGGUACCCGAAGAAUAAGCACCGGCUAACUACGUGCCAGCAGCCGCGGUAAUACGUAGGGUACAAGCGUUAAUCGGAAUUACUGGGGGUGGUGCGGGCGCAGAGAGGUGAAAUCCCCGGGCUUAACCUGGGAACUGCAUUUGUGACUGCAUAGCUUGAGUACGGUAGAGGGGGGUAGAAUUCCACGUGUAGCAGUGAAAUGCGUAGAGAUGUGGAGGAAUACCGAUGGCGAAGGCAGCCCCCUGGACCGUAACUGACGCUCAUGCACGAAAGCGUGGGGAGCAAACAGGAUUAGAUACCCCGGUAGUC